This is a long non-coding RNA of Gadus morhua (Atlantic cod), 1881 nucleotides long. NCBI's taxonomy places the organism in Eukaryota, Metazoa, Chordata, Actinopteri, Gadiformes, Gadidae. The record is from Ensembl.
AGACACGGAGGUGAAACCACCUGUUUGUUACCAGACAUGGAGGUGAAACCACCUGUUUGUCACCAGACAUGGAGGUGAAACCACCUGUCUGUCACCAGACAUGGAGGUGAAACCACCUGUUUGUUGUCCAGAAUAGGACCCGUGGUGGAGGGCAGCUAGUGGGGAGCAGUGCUGGAGGACCUGCUGGGAAGGACAUCCCUCGUUGGGGUAAAGACACCCGUCUCUGAGAUGUGAAGGCUGCAGAGGACCCACCAGGAUCCCCUUGGAGGACAACAAAUGGACUACGUGAGGUCUUUGGAAGCACUACAGUUCAGAAUGCCUUCCAAAGAAUGAAGCCCACCCCCCAUGGCUCAGCUAGUGGCGUUCACCGGACCAGGAACCCCGAGACCUGAAGGAGGAGCCGUGCAUCUGGAGGAACACCAUGAGGCUACCCGCCAAGUAUUACUCGAUCUCCUGGGCGAGGCGUGGGGCGCCAGGAGGGACCGAGGCCGACCACCAAGCUGUUCUCAAACGCUGAAGAAUAGGACCCGUGGUGGAGGGCAGCUAGUGGGGAGCAGUGCUGGAGGACCUGCUGGGAAGGACAUCCCUCGUUGGGGUAAAGACACCCGUCUCUGAGAUGUGAAGGCUGCAGAGGACCCACCAGGAUCCCCUUGGAGGACAACAAAUGGACUACGUGAGGUCUUUGGAAGCACUACAGUUCAGAAGGCCUUCCAAAGAAUGAAGCCCAGCCCCCAUGGCUCAGCUAGUGGCGUUCACCGGACCAGGAACCCCGAGACCUGAAGGAGGAGCCGUGUAUCCGGAUGAACACCAUGAGCCUACCCGCCAAGUAUUACUCUGAGCUCUGCAGGGUGGUCAGGACGGCUGGAGACGUGGAGGGCGGGCGGGGAGCCAGGCUCACCAGUGAUCUCCUGGGCGAGGCGUGGGGCGCCAGGAGGGACCGAGGCCGACCACCAAGCUGUUCUGAAACGCUGAAGGACCCGUGGUGGAGGGCAGCUAGUGCGGAGCCGUGCUGGAGGACCUGCUGGGAAGGACAUCCCUCGUUGGGAUGUGAAGGCUGCAGAGGACCCACCAGGAUCCCCUUGGAGGACAACAAAUGGACUACGUGAGAUCUUUGGAAGCACUACAGUUCAGAAUGCCUUCCAAAGAAUGAAGCCCACCCCCCAUGGCUCAGCUAGUGGCGUUCACCGGACCAGGAACCCGAGACCUGAAGGAGGAGCCGUGCAUCUCGAAGAACACCAUGAGGCUACCCGCCAAGUAUUACUCACUUCCACGAGGAGGGGGACUGUCGGCUGGAGGACCUCCCUACUGGUGGAGCGAGUGACACCCGGCUCUACAGGGAAGACCACGGUGGAGAGAGGGCUGAAGCUGUGCAUCCUGAAGGGGAAACAGGCGCGGUUGAAGUGCUGUGUUCAGUCUGGGAAGGACACACCUGAGCUGUUUCACCCUGAGCUGCUUCACACCUGCAUCUCUAACCAGCUGAAGCCCUUCAGUGACCAACAAAAGGUCCCUCAUCACAGCUUAUCAUCGCUGGCCUGAGGAUUCAUCCUACACUCACACAACGUGACUUUGUCACCAUCUGCUGCACGUUGGGAUGCUAACGUGUUCCACCAGGGGUUCCUUCCUUCCCGCAGUGGGAGUGUUCCUUGUCCUUCAAGGAGUUAGGGUUCAGUGUUAGGGACAGAGUUAGGGAGAGAUGGUUGAGUCCUGGCUGGUUUACGAUGAACUGCUCUAACGCUUUGCCAAAAUGUUUCAAUGUGCAAACACUCACAAACACAUACAAUGUAUAAUAAGUGUUUAUGAAAUAAAUUCUGUUUAUAAUUCUGCAUGUUUGUGUGGGGGUUUUAUUACCAUUAAACAAUUUUCUCUCACCGCAACCUCCCC